This 228-nucleotide long non-coding RNA is filed under the name Fukomys damarensis (Damara mole-rat). Its description in RNAcentral is "lncRNA (ENSFDAG00000033131.1)". Lineage: Eukaryota; Metazoa; Chordata; Mammalia; Rodentia; Bathyergidae. The record is from RNAcentral.
CGGUGUGGUUGCCUGGGAUACGGCCAAAAGUAAACAAUCCGAAAGCCGGCUCAGUUAGAGACACCAGUGAGGAUAACUAAUGACCCAGUGGCAACAUCCAGGGAGGAAGCAGGCACCCAGGACCCGCCGAAGCAGAACGAUGCUCUGGGGAGAUGAGGGGCCCAGCCCAGGUCUUCUUGAUCUGGGACUUGGAAGAAAUUCCGUGAGUGAUGUCAAGACCAGCAAGAG